UUGGGCGGAGUGUACAAGGCAUGCAAGUCGUGUGGGUUCAGACCCACGGCAAACGGGAGAGUAACACAUUGGUAACCUACCCCAAAGACGGGCAUAACCUUUCGAAAGAGAGGAUAAUACCCGAUGGUAUCAGCUGGCACAAGUCGGUUGAUUAAAGCUUCGGUGCUUUGGGAGGGACCUAUGCCCCAUCAGCUAGUUGGUAAGGUAAUGGCUUACCAAGGCGACGACGGGUACCGGGUGUGAGAGCAUGGCCCGGCUCACUGGGACUGAGACACUGCCCAGACUCCUACGGGAGGCUGCAGUCAAGAAUAUUCCUCAAUGGCCGAAAGGCCGAAGGAGCGACGCCGCGUGUGUGAUGAAGCUUUUCGGAGUGUAAAGCACUUUUAUAUGGGACGAACAAAUGACGGUACCAUAUGAAUAAGGGGCUGCUAAACUCGUGCCAGCAGCAGCGGUAAUACGAGUGCCCCGAGCGUUAUCCGGAUUUAUUGGGCGUAAAGCGUCCGCAGGCGGUUUGUAACAUCUUUUGUUAAAUCCCAAGGCUUAACUUUGGGACCGCGAGAGAUAUGGACAAACUAGAGACUGGGAGAGGUAAGCGGAAUUGCUGGUGUAGGGGUUAAAUCCGUUAAUAUCAGCAGGAACACCAAAUGCGAAGGCAGCUUACUGGAACAGUUCUGACGCUCAUGGACGAAAGCGUGGGUAGCGAAUGGGAUUAGAUACCCCAGUAGUCCACGCCGUAAACGUUGGAUGCUAAACAUUGGAAGUAUCGACCCUUUCAGUGUUGUUUAAUCAAGCUAACGCCUUAAGCAUCCCGCCUGGGGAGUACGGUCGCAAGAUUAAAACUCAAAGGAAUAGACGGGGACCCGCACAAGCGGUGGAGCAUGUGGUUUAAUUCGACGAUAAGCGAGGAACCUCACCAAGGUUUGACAUUUAGCUGCAGACCCCUGGAAACAGGGGAGCCUUCGAGGGUGCUAAACAGAUGCUGCAUGGUUGUCGUCAGCUCGUGUCGUGAGAUGUACCGUUAAGUCGGAAAACGAGCGCAACCCUUACCCUAUGUUUUAUAUGUCAUAGGGAACUGCCUACUUUAAGUGGGAGGAAGGUGGGGAUGACGUCAAAUCAGCAUGGUUCUUACACCUUGGGCGACACACGUGCUACAAUGGGAGAUACAAAAGGACGCCAAACGGUAACAUGGAGCAAAGCCCCAAAAUCUUCCUCAGUUCGGAUUGAGGUCUGCAACUCGACCUCAUGAAGCUGGAAUCGCUAGUAAACGCGUAUCAGCCACGGCGCGUUGAAUACGUUCUCGGGCCUUGUACACACCGCCCAAGGGC
This 1325-nucleotide ribosomal RNA is filed under the name uncultured Parcubacteria group bacterium. Its description in RNAcentral is "bacterial SSU rRNA". It matches the Rfam family "Bacterial small subunit ribosomal RNA", at positions 36 to 1403 of the family's 1533-position model. The record is from RNAcentral.